This 245-nucleotide ribosomal RNA is filed under the name uncultured bacterium. RNAcentral's name for it is "partial 16S ribosomal RNA". It matches the Rfam family "Bacterial small subunit ribosomal RNA", at positions 524 to 768 of the family's 1533-position model. The record is from RNAcentral.
GACGAAGGUGGCAAGCGUUGUUCGGAAUCACUGGGCUUAAAGAGCACGUAGGCGGACCAUCAAGCACCUUGUGAAAUCCCUCGGCUCAACCGAGGAACGGCUUGGUGGACUGAUGGUCUUGAGGCAGGUAGGGGCGUGGGGAACUCUUGGUGGAGCGGUGAAAUGCGUAGAUAUCAAGAGGAACGCCGGAGACGAAGGUGCCGCGCUGGGCCUGUCCUGACGCUGAGGUGCGAAAGCCAGGGGAG